GGUGGAGUCUGGCUGCACCUCUUAGACCUCAUUUAAGGUUGACUGCCACUAGGGAAGGAUCUUUUUCUGGAUAUCUCUUCUUAGUGGUAUUUUCCCCUGUGAGUCUAACUCUUUGAAGAUAGGUGGCCAGUUAUUUUUCUUUCUUUUAUAAUAUCUUUCUAUUAUGUUAGUUGCUCUGUCAUUAUGCCUCCUGAAUCACCUUUCCAUAUUGUUAAUCUUUUUGAUUGUUACAAUAUCAUAAAAUAAAAGCAUCAGAAUUGACUGAAUCAAAGAGAAGUUGUUAAGAUUCUCUUAUGCUAUAAUAUUUUUGAUUAAAUUCUUAACCUGCUGCUAUAAACUGAUUACAUUUGAGCUCUGAAUGUUGAGUCUCUUCAGUGUCUCAAGUUCUCAUCUAUUUGUGACAACACAAAUCCAAUAUGCCAUAAACAUGUUGAAAUGUUCUGGCCUUUACAGUUUUACCAGCCUGAGAUCUUUUUGGUCAGCAGAAUGAGAGACUUGAAGUGAAACUGAAUAAACUCCGCUAGCUGUAAUUGGCUUCA
RNAcentral lists this long non-coding RNA (539 nucleotides) under Phasianus colchicus (ring-necked pheasant). RNAcentral's name for it is "lncRNA (ENSPCLG00000001846.1)". Lineage: Eukaryota; Metazoa; Chordata; Aves; Galliformes; Phasianidae. The record is from RNAcentral.